RNAcentral lists this ribosomal RNA (489 nucleotides) under uncultured bacterium. Its description in RNAcentral is "partial 16S ribosomal RNA". It matches the Rfam family "Bacterial small subunit ribosomal RNA", at positions 28 to 506 of the family's 1533-position model. The record is from RNAcentral.
GAUGAACGCUAGCGGCAGGCCUAAUACAUGCAAGUCGAACGGGAUCCAGAUCAAAGCUUGCUUUGGUCUGGUGAGAGUGGCGCACGGGUGCGUAACGCGUGAGCAACCUACCCUUGUCAGGGGGAUAGCCCGGCGAAAGUCGGAUUAAUACCGCAUGACAUCAUUGAGAGGCAUCUUUCGAUGAUCAAAGAUUUAUCGGACAAGGAUGGGCUCGCGUGACAUUAGCUAGUUGGUAAGGUAACGGCUUACCAAGGCUGCGAUGUCUAGGGGCUCUGAGAGGAGAAUCCCCCACACUGGUACUGGGACACGGACCAGACUCCUACGGGAGGCAGCAGUAAGGAAUAUUGGUCAAUGGACGGAAGUCUGAACCAGCCAUGCCGCGUGCAGGAGGACGGCCCUAUGGGUUGUAAACUGCUUUUAUACGGGAACAAACGUCGGUACGUGUACCGGUCUGAGUGUACCGUAAGAAUAAGGAUCGGCUAACUCCGU